UAAUACUAGCGGUCCAAGUCGCAGCCAUUUUUAUUGGGUCUAAAACAUCCGUAGCUUGCUUGAUAAGUUUCUUGUGAAAUUCUAUGUCUCAAACAUAGACCGUGCAAGAAGUACUGUCAAGCUAGAGACUGGUAGACGUAAGAAGUACGUUCGGAGUAGCGGUAAAAUGUGUUAAUCCCGGACGGACUCACGAUAGCGAAGGCAUCUUACGAGAACAGUUCUGACAGUAAGGGAUGAAGGCUAGGGGCGCAAAACGGAUUAGAUACCCGUGUAGUCCUAGCAGUAAACACUGCACACUAAACAUUAGUACCUCCUCGAGAGGUAUUAGUGCUGAAGGGAAGCCGAAGAGUGUGCUACCUGGGAAGUAUAGUCGCAAGGCCG
Molecule: ribosomal RNA, 381 nt
Filed under: uncultured Halobacteria archaeon
Lineage: Archaea; Methanobacteriati; Methanobacteriota; Halobacteria
Description: bacterial SSU rRNA
Rfam family: Archaeal small subunit ribosomal RNA
Source: RNAcentral